GCGAUUAUGGGGUAGCGGUAACCUGCGGUCUUCCCAUGGCCGCGCCUCGGGUUCGACUCCCGGUGGUCGCA
Athelia sp. TMB is the source of this 71-nucleotide non-coding RNA. Lineage: Eukaryota; Fungi; Basidiomycota; Agaricomycetes; Atheliales; Atheliaceae. The record is from the annotation of a GenBank genome assembly.